RNAcentral lists this ribosomal RNA (462 nucleotides) under uncultured bacterium. RNAcentral's name for it is "bacterial SSU rRNA". It matches the Rfam family "Bacterial small subunit ribosomal RNA", at positions 40 to 518 of the family's 1533-position model. The record is from RNAcentral.
CGGCGUGCCUAACACAUGCAAGUCGAGCGAGGAGAUUCCUCGGGAUGAUCCUAGCGGCGGACGGGUGAGUAACACGUGGGCAACCUGCCUCAGUAGAGAGGAAUAGCCUUCCGAAAGGGAGGUUAAUACCUCAUAACAUUGCAGUUUCGCAUGGAACAGCAAUUAAAGGAGCAAUCCGCUAUGAGAUGGGCCCGCGGCGCAUUAGCUAGUUGGUGAGGUAACGGCUCACCAAGGCGACGAUGCGUAGCCGACCUGAGAGGGUGAUCGGCCACAUUGGGACUGAGACACGGCCCAGACUCCUACGGGAGGCAGCAGCGGGGAAUAUUGCACAAUGGGGGAAACCCUGAUGCAAGCAACGCCGCGUGAGUGAUGACGGCCUUCGGGUUGUAAAGCUCUGUCUUCAGGGACGAUAAUGACGGUACCUGAGGAGGAAGCCACGGCUAACUACGUGCCAGCCGCAGC